UACGUAGGGGGCCAGCGUUGCUCGGAAUUACUGGGCGUAAAGGGUCCGUAGGCGGUGUAGCAAGUCGAUAGUGAAAUCUCUGGGCUUAACCCAGAGGCUGCUAACGAAACUGCUGUGCUAGAGUGUGAGAGGGGCGAGUGGAAUUACGGGUGUAGCGGUGAAAUGCGUAGAUAUCUGCAGGAACACCCGUGGCGAAGGCGGCUGACUGGAUCGCAACUGACACUGAGGAACGAAAGCUAGGGGAGCAAACAGG
Molecule: ribosomal RNA, 253 nt
Filed under: uncultured bacterium
Lineage: Bacteria
Description: partial 16S ribosomal RNA
Rfam family: Bacterial small subunit ribosomal RNA
Source: RNAcentral